Molecule: transfer RNA, 65 nt
Filed under: Dipodomys ordii (Ord's kangaroo rat)
Lineage: Eukaryota; Metazoa; Chordata; Mammalia; Rodentia; Heteromyidae
Rfam family: tRNA
About the family: Transfer RNA (tRNA) molecules are approximately 80 nucleotides in length.
Source: Rfam by way of RNAcentral
GGUGGCUCAGUGGUAGAGUGCUUGCCUUGCAUGCAUGAGGCCCUGGACUCGAUUCCCCAGCACCA